RNAcentral lists this ribosomal RNA (508 nucleotides) under uncultured bacterium. Its description in RNAcentral is "partial 16S ribosomal RNA". It matches the Rfam family "Bacterial small subunit ribosomal RNA", at positions 28 to 507 of the family's 1533-position model. The record is from RNAcentral.
GACGAACGCUGGCGGCGUGCCUAACACAUGCAAGUCGAACGGAGAGAUACGAGAGCUUGCUCUUGUAAAUUUUAGUGGCAAGCGGGUGAGUCACGCGUAAACACCCUGCACAACGGAUGGGGACCACAGACGGACACGACUGCUAACACCCAAUUGACUCCGAUUUCGCAUGACACCAACAGGAAAGGUUCUCUCUCGAACAAGCAACCGCCGCAGGACGGGUUUGCGUUUGAGUAGAUAGUUGGGCGUGUAACGGCCUAACAAGACGAAGAUCAAUAGCCGGUCUGAGAGGAGGGACCGGCACACUGGAACUGGGACACGGUCCAGACUCCUACGGGGGGGAGCAGUGGGGAAUCUUCCGCAAUGGAGGGAAGUCUGACGGAGCAACGCCGCGUGAGGGAAGAAGGCCUUCGGGUUGGAAAGCUCUGUUAUUCGGGAAGAACGAUUCGUUUGUGAAUAAUGAACGGAAGUGACGGUACCGAAAGAGAAAGCCACGGCUAACUACGUG